RNAcentral lists this ribosomal RNA (818 nucleotides) under uncultured Actinomycetes bacterium. Its description in RNAcentral is "bacterial SSU rRNA". It matches the Rfam family "Bacterial small subunit ribosomal RNA", at positions 335 to 1167 of the family's 1533-position model. The record is from RNAcentral. Lineage: Bacteria; Bacillati; Actinomycetota; Actinomycetes.
ACUCCUACGGGAGGCAGCAGUGGGGAAUAUUGCACAAUGGGCGCAAGCCUGAUGCAGCAACGCCGCGUGAGGGACGACGGCCUUCGGGUUGUAAACCUCUUUUAGUAGGGAAGAAGCGAAAGUGACGGUACCUGCAGAAAAAGCACCGGCUAACUACGUGCCAGCAGCCGCGGUAAUACGUAGGGUGCAAGCGUUGUCCGGAAUUAUUGGGCGUAAAGAGCUCGUAGGCGGUUUGUCGCGUCUGCUGUGAAAACCCGAGGCUCAACCUCGGGCCUGCAGUGGGUGCGGGCAGACUAGAGUGCGGUAGGGGAGAUUGGAAUUCCUGGUGUAGCGGUGGAAUGCGCAGAUAUCAGGAGGAACACCGAUGGCGAAGGCAGAUCUCUGGGCCGUAACUGACGCUGAGGAGCGAAAGCGUGGGGAGCGAACAGGAUUAGAUACCCUGGUAGUCCACGCCGUAAACGUUGGGAACUAGAUGUGGGGACCAUUCCACGGUCUCCGUGUCGCAGCUAACGCAUUAAGUUCCCCGCCUGGGGAGUACGGCCGCAAGGCUAAAACUCAAAGGAAUUGACGGGGGCCCGCACAAGCGGCGGAGCAUGCGGAUUAAUUCGAUGCAACGCGAAGAACCUUACCAAGACUUGACAUAUACGAGAACGGGCUAGAAAUAGUCAACUCUUUGGACAGUAAACAGGUGGUGCAUGGUUGUCGUCAGCUCGUGUCGUGAGAUGUUGGGUUAAGUCCCGCAACGAGCGCAACCCUCGUUCUAUGUUGCCAGCACGUAAUGGUGGGAACUCAUAGGAGACUGCCGGGGUCAACUCGGA